CGUAACACGUAUACAACCUACCUAUAAGCGGGGGAAAGUCGCGGGAAACUGCGAAUAAUACCCCAUAAGAUCUUAGCGUGGCAUCACGCAGAGAUAAAAGUUCCGGCGCUUAUAGAUGGGUAUGCGUCCCAUUAGCUAGCUGGUGAGGUAACGGCUCACCAGGGCAACGAUGGGUAACUGGUCUGAGAGGAUGAUCAGUCACACGGGCACUGAGACACGGGCCCG
RNAcentral lists this ribosomal RNA (225 nucleotides) under uncultured bacterium. RNAcentral's name for it is "partial 16S ribosomal RNA". It matches the Rfam family "Bacterial small subunit ribosomal RNA", at positions 109 to 334 of the family's 1533-position model. The record is from RNAcentral.